RNAcentral lists this transfer RNA (58 nucleotides) under Salmo salar (Atlantic salmon). It matches the Rfam family "tRNA", at positions 8 to 63 of the family's 71-position model. Rfam says of the family: Transfer RNA (tRNA) molecules are approximately 80 nucleotides in length. Their secondary structure includes four short double-helical elements and three loops (D, anti-codon, and T loops). The record is from Rfam by way of RNAcentral. Lineage: Eukaryota; Metazoa; Chordata; Actinopteri; Salmoniformes; Salmonidae. RNAcentral also lists the same sequence under 2 other names.
UGGCUAAGUUGGUAGAGCAUGGCAUUUGCAAUGUUAGGGUUGUGGGUUCCAUUCCCAU